This 92-nucleotide ribosomal RNA is filed under the name Clostridium botulinum. RNAcentral's name for it is "partial 23S ribosomal RNA". It matches the Rfam family "Bacterial large subunit ribosomal RNA", at positions 2837 to 2925 of the family's 2925-position model. The record is from RNAcentral. Lineage: Bacteria; Bacillati; Bacillota; Clostridia; Eubacteriales; Clostridiaceae.
CUGGAAGAACACCAGGUUGAUAGGUCAGAGAUGUAAGCAUGGCAACAUGUUAAGUUGACUGAUACUAAUAAGUCGAGGGCUUGACCAAAUAA